This 1023-nucleotide ribosomal RNA is filed under the name Halomonas caseinilytica. RNAcentral's name for it is "bacterial SSU rRNA". It matches the Rfam family "Bacterial small subunit ribosomal RNA", at positions 51 to 1064 of the family's 1533-position model. The record is from RNAcentral. Lineage: Bacteria; Pseudomonadati; Pseudomonadota; Gammaproteobacteria; Oceanospirillales; Halomonadaceae.
ACACAUGCAAGUCGAGCGGAAACGAUCCUAGCUUGCUAGGAGGCGUCGAGCGGCGGACGGGUGAGUAAUGCAUAGGAAUCUGCCCGGUAGUGGGGGAUAACCUGAGGAAACUCAGGCUAAUACCGCAUACGUCCUACGGGAGAAAGCAGGGGCUCUUCGGACCUUGCGCUAUCGGAUGAGCUUAUGUCGGAUUAGCUGGUUGGUGAGGUAACGGCUCACCAAGGCGACGAUCCGUAGCUGGUCUGAGAGGAUGAUCAGCCACAUCGGGACUGAGACACGGCCCGAACUCCUACGGGAGGCAGCAGUGGGGAAUAUUGGACAAUGGGGGCAACCCUGAUCCAGCCAUGCCGCGUGUGUGAAGAAGGCCCUCGGGUUGUAAAGCACUUUCAGUGAGGAAGAAGGCUUGUCGGUUAAUACCCGGCAAGAAAGACAUCACUCACAGAAGAAGCACCGGCUAACUCCGUGCCAGCAGCCGCGGUAAUACGGAGGGUGCGAGCGUUAAUCGGAAUUACUGGGCGUAAAGCGUGCGUAGGCGGCUUGAUAAGCCGGUUGUGAAAGCCCCGGGCUCAACCUGGGAACGGCAUCCGGAACUGUCAGGCUAGAGUGCAGGAGAGGAAGGUAGAAUUCCCGGUGUAGCGGUGAAAUGCGUAGAGAUCGGGAGGAAUACCAGUGGCGAAGGCGGCCUUCUGGACUGACACUGACGCUGAGGUACGAAAGCGUGGGUAGCAAACAGGAUUAGAUACCCUGGUAGUCCACGCCGUAAACGAUGUCGACUAGCCGUUGGGGUCCUCGAGACCUUUGUGGCGCAGUUAACGCACUAAGUCGACCGCCUGGGGAGUACGGCCGCAAGGUUAAAACUCAAAUGAAUUGACGGGGGGCCCGCACAAGCGGUGGAGCAUGUGGUUUAAUUCGAUGCAACGCGAAGAACCUUACCUACCCUUGACAUCGUGCGAACUUUCCAGAGAUGGAUUGGUGCCUUCGGGAACGCACAGACAGGUGCUGCAGGCCUGUCGUCAGCUCGUG